RNAcentral lists this ribosomal RNA (498 nucleotides) under uncultured bacterium. Its description in RNAcentral is "partial 16S ribosomal RNA". It matches the Rfam family "Bacterial small subunit ribosomal RNA", at positions 30 to 523 of the family's 1533-position model. The record is from RNAcentral.
AUUGAACGCUGGCGGCAUGCCUUACACAUGCAAGUCGAACGGUAACAGGUCUUCGGAUGCUGACGAGUGGCGAACGGGUGAGUAAUACAUCGGAACGUGCCUAGUAGUGGGGGAUAACUACUCGAAAGAGUGGCUAAUACCGCAUGAGAUCUACGGAUGAAAGCAGGGGAUCGCAAGACCUUGUGCUACUAGAGCGGCCGAUGGCAGAUUAGGUAGUUGGUGGGAUAAAAGCUUACCAAGCCGACGAUCUGUAGCUGGUCUGAGAGGACGAUCAGCCACACUGGGACUGUGACACAGCCCAGAGGCCUACGGGAGGCAGAAGUGGGGAAUUGUGGACAAUGGGCGAAAGCCUGAGCCAGCAAUGCCGCGUGCAGGAUGAAGGCCUUCGGGUUGUAAACUGCUUUUGUACGGAACGAAAAGCCCCGGGUUAAUACCCUGGGGUCAUGACGGUACCGUAAGAAUAAGCACCGGCUAACUACGUGCCAGCCGCCGCGGUAA